Gasterosteus aculeatus aculeatus (three-spined stickleback) is the source of this 3056-nucleotide long non-coding RNA. NCBI's taxonomy places the organism in Eukaryota, Metazoa, Chordata, Actinopteri, Perciformes, Gasterosteidae. The record is from Ensembl.
UAUAUAUAUAUAUAUAUAUAUACAUGAAUUAUCUACACCUCUCACCUAACGUGAACCAUCACAGUUCACGUAGGGUUUGAGGUCCUCAUUCACACUCACAUUCACACAUACAAACAAACAAAUAUAAAUGCAUUAUCUUUACCUCUAACUUAACAUGAACUAUCACAGUUCACAUCGGGUUCGAGGUCCUCAUUCACACACAAACAAACAAACAAAUAUAAAUGCAUUAUCUUUACCUCUAACUUAACAUGAACCAUCACAGUUCACAUCGGGUUCGAGGUCCUCAUUCACACUCACAUUCACACAUACAAACAAACAAAUAUAAAUGCAUUAUCUUUACCUCUAACUUAACAUGAACUAUCACAGUUCACGUAGGGUUUGAGGUCCUCAUUCACACUCCCAUUCACACAUACAUACGCAUUGUCUUUACCUCUCACUCAAUAUGAGCUAUCACAGAUCACAUAAAUGAAAAACCUACAUAGGUUUGAUGAUGACUUUUACAGUUCACACUGGGCGAUAUGUCAUCAUUCACAUUCCCACAUACAUACAUACAAUUGUAUAUACAAAUAUAAAUUCACUCUCUUUACCUCUAACUUAACAUGAAUCUUCACAGUUCACGUUGGGUUUGAGGUCUUCAUUCACACUCACAGGUACAUAUGGCGGCAAACAACCACACAUACAUGCAAAAACCUGCUAGAAGGGGAUGUCUUAUUUUGUUCAUCUGCUGAGUUGCAGUUGAUUGCAUCUGUCUUUUGAAUAAACCAAUAGCCAUAUUUAAAUAUAGUGAUAUUUGGUGACAGUAUUUUUACCUGAUUAGAAGGGACGAGGUGCGAUGAGGUGUAUUGGACAUAAAAGAAUUGCUCUGGCAAAAGAAUUGGUCUGGCAGCCUGAGGAGGCAGUUUGACUGGCUGUAAUUCAAGUCUGAACUGCAGCUGUUAGGCAUUAAAGUGCUAAUCCUUUGUCCUAUAAUGCUCCAUUAACCCGAUGCCGAUGCCAACAAUACAUCCUACUGUCACCACAGUUUUGGCGAGGUCAGACCACCAACUUCUGGCCCCAACCGGUGUCUCCUCUGUCUCAUCCGUCUCUGAGAGGAACCCUUCGUCACUGUAAUACUCAGAUGAGUCUGGGUCUUCAACAUAGAUUAUGAAUUCCUCUCUGCUAUCUACCUGUAUUUCCUGCAGUCUGAAUUGUUGGAUCUCUGACAGACAUUGGUCAUUGGUCUGUUUAAGUAGUUCCAUUUCCUCAUCUCGCUCCGAGAAUUUUCUGUCCCAUCUUUCAACUUGAUUCUGAAGGUCAUCAAUUGUUGUAGAAAGACGUUCAGUGACGUUGAUGAGGACCCUCUCACCGAUCAGGAUCUGGUUCUUCAUAGUUCGGUGUUCCUCAAGUAGCACUUCAACAUCUGCCUCCAGUUUAGAAAUCCUUGGCUGAUUUAGAUGUUUCUCGUCAACGUUUCUCAGGAUUAUUGUUCCCAAGUGCAGAUCAAUUUUUGCCGAUUCCUCCCAUAGAAGCCUCAGUUCACGGAAUUGUGAUUUUGCCAUGACGCUUGGAAGUCUUCAAACACGUCCACUCUGUUGGUUGUCCAAAGUAAGAAUGCAUCCAAGAUGCCUUCUGGAGCCUUAAGAACUCUUUGACGUAGGCUGUGACGCGUUCCCUUCCCUUUCAUCUUUGUGUGACGUCAUAACAUUCUAUGCGCCACCUGUUUUUCCAUCCAGCUUCGGAGACGUGUGCACCGAAUGCGUCACAGGUUAAGUCACGUGACUUUGGCGUCUAACGCGCUGGCAAACGGUCACGGCGGCUCGCGUAUCUGCAUCCGACCCUCGGAAAGUAUCGUUAACUAUGAAAGCCUUUCAAUCUUCACAAGAGUUUAGAGUCUAAACUCUCCAGAUUGAAAACCUCCGUAAGAUAUAGGUCUAAACUUUAGACCUAUAAAGGUGCGGAGUAAUUUACACGUCAUCCUCCUGGUCGAACGCUCCAUUUGUCGGUCUUCGGGUCACAUCAUCCGUCACAUUUAUUAAUUCUUUAAAGAUUCAUUGAUUAGUCAAUCAACAGAAAUCGACUCGCCAACUAUUUUGAUGAAUCUACGAAUUGAGCAAUAUAGAAAGCAAUUUGAAGACGUCAGGCUGUGAUGGUACUUCGCUAAACUUGAGGACAUAUGGAUUCAUGACUCUUAACUAGUUGUACCCAUACAUGUUUACAAAAGGAGAAAUCUUAGACAAUGUGUUUUAAUAUCUUGUGAAAUACAAAAAUACUCAGGGGACCAAGUAUGGCGAAAAUAGCAGCAAAUCAUCACAUACUAGAUGAUUGAAACGAUUAUUAAGUACUUAAUCGAUUACUAAAAGCAUUGCCAUGUAUUCUCUCAACUCAUUCAAUACGUGUUUUAUACAUUAUACGUUAAAUCUUUUUUGAAUUAACUUAAAAACAACUUUAAUCCAAAAAGAUAACUACAACACGUCAUGGUUAAAUACAAUUUUUCUUAUUUAUUUUUCAACACUUAUGUCAUUUUGAUUCUUGGUGAACUCUUAUUACCCUUUCCCUUUCAUUAAAUGAUGACGCAUACGCAAACCCCAUGCUAGCCUGCACAGCUGUCCUCAAGUCCCAGAGAUCCUCAUUGCUUCUCAGUGAUUCGUCUCGCCGUCCCCACGUAGACAAUGUAGACACAAUAAUAGACAAUGUGAUAUGCUGCACAGGGAUGGAAGCAGGGGCGAUGCCUUUAGCUGGACACAGAGCGGCGCAAGAGUCUCAGAAAUGCUGGUAGAAGUUCAACACAUCAACGACAGUAUAUGAGAAGAGCACAUGAACGUUGCCUGAGGAUUGAUUUCGUUAUAGAAAGUACAGAGCCAUCCAGACCCUCCCCUUUAUUUUUUUGAUUUUUUUAUUCUCUCCUUUUCCUCCCCCCCAUUUCUCUUUGUGCCUAUGGGUAUGUAUGUGUCUAUAUGUAUGUGUGUAUACAUGUGUGUACCCUGUCUGUGUUGAAAAUGCACACACAAUACACAGUUAAACAAUAAACCUGUUGUGUAGUAGCAGAAUGUAUGCAUUUGCAUUUCUGUGUGCUGUAG